GAUGAAGAACGCAGCGAAAUGCGAUAAGUAGUGUGAAUUGCAGAAUUCCGUGAAUCAUCGAAUCUUUGAACGCACAUUGCGCCUUCUGGUAUUCCGGAAGGCAUGCCUGUUCGAGAGUCAUUAACAACCGUUUCGAUCCCUUUCUUUCAGAAAUUACAAAGAGGAAAAGGGUUUGUUUAUGGUGGAGGAGGGAAAGGGAGCGUUUAGCCUGUAAAAAAAGAGGCUGUGUUCCGCCUCCCCCCCAAAAUUGUACAGGCGGUCGUGUGCGCCCACGCAUCGAGGUGUUGUAAAAGCUGCCACGGCACUUUUCACCUGUGCAGUGCGAGAUUGGCCAGCCGGUUUAAAAACCCCUCCAAACAAUCAAAGGUUGACCUCGGAUCAGGUAGGGAUACCCGCUGAACUUAAGCAUAUCAAUAAGCGGAGGA
This 425-nucleotide unclassified non-coding RNA is filed under the name soil metagenome. Its description in RNAcentral is "partial contains 5.8S ribosomal RNA, internal transcribed spacer 2, and large subunit ribosomal RNA". The stretch from base 1 to 120 matches the Rfam family "5.8S ribosomal RNA", at positions 35 to 154 of the family's 154-position model. The record is from RNAcentral.